UACGUAGGGUGCGAGCGUUGUCCGGAAUUACUGGGCGUAAAGAGCGCGCAGGCGGUUUGCCAAGUCAGAUGUGAAAGAGGCCGGCUUAACCGGCAAGGGUCAUUUGAAACUGGCAGGCUAGAGUGCGGGAGAGGAGAGUGGAAUUCCUGGUGUAGCGGUGAAAUGCGCAGAUAUCAGGAAGAACACCCGUGGCGAAGGCGGCUCUCUGGAACGCAACUGACGCUGAGACGCGAAAGCGUGGGGAGCAAACAGG
RNAcentral lists this ribosomal RNA (253 nucleotides) under uncultured bacterium. RNAcentral describes it as "partial 16S ribosomal RNA". It matches the Rfam family "Bacterial small subunit ribosomal RNA", at positions 524 to 776 of the family's 1533-position model. The record is from RNAcentral.